AGCUCUGAAUUUAUAGUUCAAGUGUUUUAUUUCCCAACAGUGUGAGUGAAUCGUGCACGUCUGUGUUCAACAAGGAAAGGAAACACCAGGAUUGCAGGAGACACGAAACGAGGCAUGGUUUUCAAAGAAUACUGAACUAUCCAGAGCAGUCCAGCUGAUACUUGUUUACCAGGGUAGCAAGAAGACAAGGCAAAAGUAAAAAGGGUUCUGAACUUGCGGUUCCUGCGCUUUGUGGACCCUCGAAUUCUGGGCUCACAUAAGGGCCCUAGAACACUGGUGGGAGGAAAAAUGGACUAACUUGAAGGAGCUUCCUAAAUACACAAACUGUGGGCAGCAUAUCUUUGUCAGAAAGGAAAGAGGAAGUGUCCAGGGAAAGCAGACAUAGUGACCUUUUCUCGAGCUGUGUGUGUUGUCACCUCCAGGGAUGGAGGUUCUUUAGGCUGAGUGGAAGUAGACCAUCUCUCAGUUCAUGAGUAAAGAAGACCCAGGGAAGGAGGAAUAUCCUAAGCUGACCAG
This 516-nucleotide long non-coding RNA is filed under the name Bos mutus (wild yak). RNAcentral's name for it is "lncRNA (ENSBMUG00000007194.1)". Lineage: Eukaryota; Metazoa; Chordata; Mammalia; Artiodactyla; Bovidae. The record is from RNAcentral.